This 926-nucleotide ribosomal RNA is filed under the name uncultured Bacteroidota bacterium. RNAcentral's name for it is "bacterial SSU rRNA". It matches the Rfam family "Bacterial small subunit ribosomal RNA", at positions 1 to 917 of the family's 1533-position model. Lineage: Bacteria; Pseudomonadati; Bacteroidota. The record is from RNAcentral.
UGGAUCCAGACUUUGAUUCUGGCUCAGGAUGAACGCUAGCUACAGGCUUAACACAUGCAAGUCGAGGGGAAACGACAUCGAAAGCUUGCUUUUGAUGGGCGUCGACCGGCGCACGGGUGAGUAACGCGUAUCCAACCUGCCCAUCACUUGGGGAUAACCUUGCGAAAGUAAGACUAAUACCCAAUGACGUCUCUAGAAGACAUCUGAAAGAGAUUAAAGAUUUAUCGGUGAUGGAUGGGGAUGCGUCUGAUUAGCUUGUUGGCGGGGUAACGGCCCACCAAGGCAACGAUCAGUAGGGGUUCUGAGAGGAAGGUCCCCCACAUUGGAACUGAGACACGGUCCAAACUCCUACGGGAGGCAGCAGUGAGGAAUAUUGGUCAGUGGGCGAGAGCCUGAACCAGCCAAGUAGCGUGCAGGAUGACGGCCCUAUGGGCUGUAAACUGCUUUUAUAAGGGAAUAAAGUGAGUCUCGUGAGACUUUUUGCAUGUACCUUAUGAAUAAGGACCGGCUAAUCCCGUGCCAGCAGCCGCGGUAAUACGGAAGGUCCGGGCGUUAUCCGGAUUUAUUGGGUCUAAAGGGAGCGUAGGCCGGAGAUUAAGCGUGUUGUGAAAUGUAGACGCUCAACGUCUGCACUGCAGCGCGAACUGGUUUCCUUGAGUACGCACAAAGUGGGCGGAAUUCGUGGUGUAGCGGUGAAAUGCUUAGAUAUCACGAAGAACUCCGAUUGCGAAGGCAGCUCACUGGAGCGCAACUGACGCUGAAGCUCGAAAGUGCGGGUAUCGAACAGGAUUAGAUACCCUGGUAGUCCGCACGGUAAACGAUGGAUGCCCGCUGUUGGUCUGAAUAGGUCAGCGGCCAAGCGAAAGCAUUAAGCAUCCCACCUGGGGAGUACGCCGGCAACGGUGCAACUCAAAUGAAUUGACGGA